Molecule: ribosomal RNA, 458 nt
Filed under: uncultured bacterium
Lineage: Bacteria
Description: partial 16S ribosomal RNA
Rfam family: Bacterial small subunit ribosomal RNA
Source: RNAcentral
CCUACGGGUGGCAGCAGUGAGGAAUAUUGGUCAAUGGGCGAGAGCCUGAACCAGCCAAGUCGCGUGAGGGAGUACUGCCCUAUGGGUUGUAAACCUCUUUUGUCGGGGAGCAAAAGCCGGACGUGUCCGGCUGUGAGAGUACCCGAAGAAAAAGCAUCGGCUAACUCCGUGCCAGCAGCCGCGGUAAUACGGAGGAUGCGAGCGUUAUCCGGAUUUAUUGGGUUUAAAGGGUGCGCAGGCGGAUGUUUAAGUCAGCGGUAAAAUCGUGGGGCUCAACCCCAUCCAGCCGUUGAAACUGGGGAUCUAGAGUGUGCGGGAGGUAUGCGGAAUGCGUGGUGUAGCGGUGAAAUGCAUAGAUAUCACGAAGAACCCCGAUUGCGAAGGCAGCAUACCGGUGCACAACUGACGCUCAGGCACGAAAGCGUGGGUAUCGAACAGGAUUAGAUACCCCAGUAGUC